RNAcentral lists this ribosomal RNA (440 nucleotides) under uncultured bacterium. Its description in RNAcentral is "partial 16S ribosomal RNA". It matches the Rfam family "Bacterial small subunit ribosomal RNA", at positions 338 to 795 of the family's 1533-position model. The record is from RNAcentral.
CCUACGGGGGGCAGCAGUGGGGGAUAUUGCACAAUGGGGGGAACCCUGAUGCAGCGACGCCGCGUGGGUGAAGAAGCGCCUCGGCGCGUAAAGCCCUGUCAGCAGGGAAGAAAAUGACGGUACCUGACCAAGAAGCCCCGGCUAACUACGUGCCAGCAGCCGCGGUAAUACGUAGGGGGCAAGCGUUAUCCGGAUUUACUGGGUGUAAAGGGAGCGUAGACGGUUAUGUGAGUCUGGAGUGAAAGCCCGGGGCCCAACCCCGGGACUGCUUUGGAAACUGUGUAACUGGAGUACAGGAGGGGCAGGCGGAAUUCCUGGUGUAGCGGUGAAAUGCGUAGAUAUCGAGAGGAACACUCGUGGCGAAGGCGGGUUCCUGGACAUUAACUGACGCUGAGGCACGAAGGCCAGGGGAGCGAAAGGGAUUAGAUACCCCAGUAGUC